UACAGAGGUCCCAAGCGUUGUUCGGAUUCACUGGGCGUAAAGGGUGCGUAGGCGGUCGGGUAAGUCUGAUGUGAAAUCUCACAGCUUAACUGUGAAACUGCAUUGGAUACUAUUCGGCUUGAGAGUUGGAGGGGGUACUGGAAUUCUUGGUGUAGCAGUGAAAUGCGUAGAUAUCAAGAGGAACACCAGUGGCGAAGGCGAGUCCCUGGACAACUUCUGACGCUGAGGCACGAAAGCUAGGGGAGCAAACAGG
RNAcentral lists this ribosomal RNA (253 nucleotides) under uncultured bacterium. RNAcentral's name for it is "partial 16S ribosomal RNA". It matches the Rfam family "Bacterial small subunit ribosomal RNA", at positions 524 to 776 of the family's 1533-position model. The record is from RNAcentral.